Molecule: ribosomal RNA, 376 nt
Filed under: Campylobacter upsaliensis
Lineage: Bacteria; Pseudomonadati; Campylobacterota; Epsilonproteobacteria; Campylobacterales; Campylobacteraceae
Description: bacterial SSU rRNA
Rfam family: Bacterial small subunit ribosomal RNA
Source: RNAcentral
UUCGUAAGGAGGAGGAAGGUGGGGACGACGUCAAGUCAUCAUGGCCCUUACGCCUAGGGCGACACACGUGCUACAAUGGCAUAUACAAUGAGACGCAAUACCGCGAGGUGGAGCAAAUCUAUAAAAUAUGUCCCAGUUCGGAUUGUUCUCUGCAACUCGAGAGCAUGAAGCCGGAAUCGCUAGUAAUCGCAAAUCAGCCAUGUUGCGGUGAAUACGUUCCCGGGUCUUGUACUCACCGCCCGUCACACCAUGGGAGUUGAUUUCACUCGAAGUGGAAAUACUAAACUAGUUAUCCCCCACAGUGGAAUCAGCGACUGGGGUGAAGUCGUAACAAGGUAACCGUAGGAGAACCUGCGGUUGGAUCACCUCCUUUCUA